This 253-nucleotide ribosomal RNA is filed under the name uncultured bacterium. RNAcentral describes it as "partial 16S ribosomal RNA". It matches the Rfam family "Bacterial small subunit ribosomal RNA", at positions 524 to 776 of the family's 1533-position model. The record is from RNAcentral.
UACAGAGGUCUCAAGCGUUGUUCGGAUUCAUUGGGCGUAAAGGGUGCGUAGGCGGCGCGGUAAGUCGGGUGUGAAAUCUCGGGGCUUAACUCCGAAACUGCAUUCGAUACUGCCGUGCUUGAGGACUGGAGAGGAGACUGGAAUUUACGGUGUAGCGGUGAAAUGCGUAGAUAUCGUAAGGAAGACCAGUGGCGAAGGCGAGUCCCUGGACACUUCCUGACACUGAGGCACGAAAGCUAGGGGAGCAAACAGG